Molecule: ribosomal RNA, 504 nt
Filed under: uncultured bacterium
Lineage: Bacteria
Description: bacterial SSU rRNA
Rfam family: Bacterial small subunit ribosomal RNA
Source: RNAcentral
GAUGAACGCUAGCUACAGGCUUAACACAUGCAAGUCGAGGGGAAACGAUAUUGGAAGCUUGCUUCCGAUAGGCGUCGACCGGCGCACGGGUGAGUAACGCGUAUCCAACCUGCCCACCACUUGGGGAUAACCUUGCGAAAGUAAGACUAAUACCCAAUGACGUCUCUAGAAGACAUCUGAAAGAGAUUAAAGAUUUAUCGGUGAUGGAUGGGGAUGCGUCUGAUUAGCUUGUUGGCGGGGUAACGGCCCACCAAGGCGACGAUCAGUAGGGGUUCUGAGAGGAAGGUCCCCCACAUUGGAACUGAGACACGGUCCAAACUCCUACGGGAGGCAGCAGUGAGGAAUAUUGGUCAAUGGUCGCGAGACUGAACCAGCCAAGUAGCGUGCAGGAUGACGGCCCUCUGGGUUGUAAACUGCUUUUAGUUGGGAAUAAAAGGCGGUACGUGUACCGCGUAAUUGUAUGUACCAUCNGAAAAAAGGACCGGCUAAAUUCCGUGCCAGCAG